CGAUGUGCUCUCGUAGAGUCGGGCUGCUUGGGAGUGCAGCCUGAAGCGGGUGGUAAAUUCCAUCUAAAGCUAAAUACUGGCGGGAGACCGAUAGCGAACAAGUACCGUGAGGGAAAGAUGCAAAGAACUUUGAAAAGAGAGUUAAAGAGUGCUUGAAAUUGGCAGGAGGAAACCCGGUUGCGCGUGGCAUUUGGCGUGGUCGACUCAGCCGCGCGCGGAGACCUGUAGGGGACCUAACGGCCUCGUGGUCAGCGCGCGCGGUGCACUUCGGCCGCGUCGGUCAGCCGCGUUUCUGUGCGGCCCAGACGGCCGCGGGCAGGGCUUCGGCGCAGCCUGCGGUUUGGGGGUCGCGCGGGAUCUCGGCUGAUGCGCACGGGCGCAACCGACCCGUCUAGAAACACGGACCAAGGAGUCUGACGCGUGUGCGAGUACUAGAGUGGCAAGCUCGAGUGCGCAAUGAAAGUGAAGGGCGUGCCCCGUCAACCGAUCUUGAUCUUCUGUGAAGGGUUUGAGUGGAGCACAUCUGUCGGGACCCGAAAGAUGGUGAACUAUGCCUGAGGAGGGUGAAGCCAGAGGAAACUCUGGUGGAGGCUCGUAGCGAUACUGACGUGCAAAUCGUUCGUCGAACUUGGGUAUAGGGGCGAAAGACUAAUCGAACCAUCUAGUAGCUGGUUCCCUCCGAAGUUUCCCUCAGGAUAGCUUGAACGCCGACGGUUUUGU
This 720-nucleotide ribosomal RNA is filed under the name Phaeocystis antarctica. RNAcentral's name for it is "eukaryotic LSU rRNA". It matches the Rfam family "Eukaryotic large subunit ribosomal RNA", at positions 247 to 1004 of the family's 3401-position model. The record is from RNAcentral. Lineage: Eukaryota; Haptophyta; Phaeocystales; Phaeocystaceae.